RNAcentral lists this ribosomal RNA (212 nucleotides) under uncultured bacterium. Its description in RNAcentral is "partial 16S ribosomal RNA". It matches the Rfam family "Bacterial small subunit ribosomal RNA", at positions 1289 to 1500 of the family's 1533-position model. The record is from RNAcentral.
CAGUUCGGAUUGUAGGCUGCAACUCGCCUACAUGAAGUCGGAAUUGCUAGUAAUCGCGGAUCAGCAUGCCGCGGUGAAUACGUUCCCGGGCCUUGUACACACCGCCCGUCACACCAUGGAAGUUGGUAACACCCGAAGCCUGUAGCCUAACCGCAAGGAGGGCGCAGUCGAAGGUGGGAUUGAUGACUGGGGUGAAGUCGUAACAAGGUAUC